GUAGGUGGCAAGCGUUGUCCGGAAUUAUUGGGCGUAAAGCGCGCGCAGGCGGUCCUUAAGUCUGAUGUGAAAGCCCACGGCUCAACCGUGGAGGGUCAUUGGAAACUGGGGGACUUGAGUACAGAAGAGGAAAGCGGAAUUCCAAGUGUAGCGGUGAAAUGCGUAGAGAUUUGGAGGAACACCAGUGGCGAAGGCGGCUUUCUGGUCUGUAACUGACGCUGAGGCGCGAAAGCGUGGGGAGCAAACAGGAUUAGAUACCCUGGUAGUCCACGCCGUAAACGAUGAGUGCUAAGUGUUAGGGGGUUUCCCGCCCCCUUAGUGCUGCAGCUAACGCAUUAAGCACUCCGCCUGGGGAGUACGGCCGCAAGGCUG
RNAcentral lists this ribosomal RNA (372 nucleotides) under uncultured organism. RNAcentral's name for it is "partial 16S ribosomal RNA". It matches the Rfam family "Bacterial small subunit ribosomal RNA", at positions 527 to 896 of the family's 1533-position model. The record is from RNAcentral.